This 254-nucleotide ribosomal RNA is filed under the name uncultured bacterium. Its description in RNAcentral is "partial 16S ribosomal RNA". It matches the Rfam family "Bacterial small subunit ribosomal RNA", at positions 524 to 776 of the family's 1533-position model. The record is from RNAcentral.
UACGUAGGGUGCAAGCGUUAAUCGGAAUUACUGGGCGUAAAGCGUGCGCAGGCGGUUUUGUAAGUCAGAUGUGAAAUCCCCGGGCUCAACCUGGGAACUGCGUUUGAAACUACAAGGCUAGAGUGUAGCAGAGGGGGGGUAGAAUUCCACGUGUAGCAGUGAAAUGCGUAGAGAUGUGGAGGAAUACCAAUGGCGAAGGCAGCCCCCUGGGUUAACACUGACGCUCAUGCACGAAAGCGUGGGGAGCAAACAGG